Equus caballus (horse) is the source of this 2074-nucleotide long non-coding RNA. The record is from Ensembl. NCBI's taxonomy places the organism in Eukaryota, Metazoa, Chordata, Mammalia, Perissodactyla, Equidae.
CACGGUCAUCUGCGACCCUCUUGGAGCCCCCUGGGAGCAUGGAAGCUGGCCCUGAACAGGACAGUGGGACGACCUGUCUGAGCUCCAGCCACCUUCCUGCUUUGGCACUUUGGGGUUCUGAGUUGGGAGCAAACCCAGCAAAACCUGGCCAUUUCCCUCCACUGGAUGUUUCCCUGGACUGCUUCACCUGUCCAGAUGGUCCACAGAUUCAGGAUCUACUGCAAGCCCCACCUCCUCCAUGAAGCCUUCCUUGAGGUCACUGACCUCGGAGAAGUUUAUCUAGACCUCAUGGAGAGAGCUGUACAUCUCCCACAGAUCCUGGACUUUGAGCUGGAAUUGAAACCGGCAACCAGCCAUUGAUGAUUUAAGUAUCUAGGAAUUAGAACUCCUUGUCCACUUCAGGCCACUUGAGACCACCAACUCAUCAGCUGGGCCGUGCAGAUGUCUGAUAGGCAACCUUUUGACGUCAAGAGGCUAAAAACUCCACCCUCAGGUCAUGCUAACACCUCCGUUUUGUGAAUAUGCAUCUUAUGAAGAGGUGGGACGUCUGACUACGCUUGCGCAAAUCAUCAAUUACCUCACCUCUCCUCCCCUCCAAUCACCUCUCUCCACAUGUCAGACCACCUUGCCCCCUACCCCAUAAAUAUCCCUGAGUCCUUAUUUUCAGGGAAGAGAAUUUGAGACUCAUGCUCUCGCUUCCUCACGUGACUGCCUUGGCCUGGAUGAUGCCAGCUCCCCAGCUGCAAGGGAGACUGGGAAAGACUGCUUCUGGCUUUGGAGUACAGGGUGCAGGAUUCGUGACACGGAAAGUUCCUCAAACACAGAAGAAUGCUCAAAAGGUGUUGGGCACCCCUGAAACAUGAUGAAGGUCCUCAACAAUGGCCGAUACUUUUCAUGAACUUUCUGUGUGCUUGGCACACAGCUCUGGGUCCAUUCACCUUCUAAUUGCAAACAGUGCUCUGACGUCACCCUUCCUCACUCUUCAUCACUGUGGUUUGGAUGGGAUCAUCUCCAGGGUCGGGCAUAGGAUUCAGGUCCAAACAAUGAUAUGUGACCCACUCAGAGCCAACUUGAUGCAACCUUGGCUUUUUCUGGGACAGCUGAAAGAAAUGAGGACUUGGGCUGUGAGGAUGGAGCCUAGAGUUGCUGGCAGCCAUCUUGCCGCUGCAAGGAACAGAGAAGAAAGAUGAGAAGAAGACUAAGUCUUGAUGAUGUUUUUUGAGUCUCUUGGUACCCGAUCAGUUGUAUCAUUGGAAGUCUUCCAUUGUGUGAGCAUAUAAAUUUCCUAUUUGCUUACAUCAAGCCAAUUUGAGUAGUUUCCCAUCAUUUGUAACCCGUCAGGUCCAUAUUAAUAUGCUUAUUUAAUGCUCACAAGAACUCUUUGGAGUAGGUAUUAUUUAUUAACCCCAUUUUACAGAUGAGGAAACUGAAGCACAGAGAGGCCACAUGCAAGCUGAAUUCAAACCCCGGAAAUCCAAUGCCGAGAGCCCACUCAUAAACAUUCUGCUCUCCUUGGUGACAAGGAAGGAUUCACGGGGAGGGUGUGACAUUUAACCUGAGGUUUAACUCCAAGGGGACAUAUGGGUUUGUAAGGAGGUGAGAGAAAGGCUUCUGGGUGAAGGGAAUAGCUUGGGCAAUGACAAGGCCUUUUCUCCUAAGAAACCUCCCCUCUAAUUCACUGCGUCCCUGCCUUGCAGUCUGUACCCAAGCAGGUCCCUCCUUCAAGGGAGCAUCAAACCCCAUUUCUGCAGGGAUUCCUGGCCUUUGGAUCCAUGUGGACCUCUGCUCUGAAGCGGGGCCUGGUGGGUCCCCUCUGGGGUGCAGGUUAGGUGAGGCACCCUCCUCAGCCUGAAAGCCAGUUCAGAGCAGGGGCCUGGCUUCCCCCAAAGGCUUGCACCCCUUGGACUGGGGCUCUGUCAGCUUCAGGAGGCCCUGGAGAUGCUCACAGAGUUAAAAAGAGUGAACUUGUCACAGACCAAGCACUCCCCGCUUCCUGCCCCACCCCCCCAACUUAAACUAGAACAAAUGAAAACCCAUACAGGACACCUGGGCAUUACUUGCAGAAUCUCAAAUA